This 467-nucleotide ribosomal RNA is filed under the name uncultured bacterium. RNAcentral describes it as "bacterial SSU rRNA". It matches the Rfam family "Bacterial small subunit ribosomal RNA", at positions 355 to 825 of the family's 1533-position model. The record is from RNAcentral.
UGGGGAAUUUUGGACAAUGGGCGCAAGCCUGAUCCAGCCAUGCCGCGUGCAGGAUGACGGUCCUAUGGAUUGUAAACUGCUUUUGUACAGGAAGAAACAGUUCUACGUGUAGAACCUUGACGGUACUGUAAGAAUAAGGAUCGGCUAACUCCGUGCCAGCAGCCGCGGUAAUACGGAGGAUCCAAGCGUUAUCCGGAAUCAUUGGGUUUAAAGGGUCCGUAGGCGGUUAGAUAAGUCAGUGGUGAAAGCCCAUCGCUCAACGGUGGAACGGCCAUUGAUACUGUCUGACUUGAAUUAUUAGGAAGUAACUAGAAUAUGUAGUGUAGCGGUGAAAUGCUUAGAGAUUACAUGGAAUACCAAUUGCGAAGGCAGGUUACUACUAAUGGAUUGACGCUGAUGGACGAAAGCGUGGGUAGCGAACAGGAUUAGAUACCCCCGUAGUCCCUGAGCGGGCUGGCAAGGCGCAU